Molecule: ribosomal RNA, 2786 nt
Filed under: Escherichia coli
Lineage: Bacteria; Pseudomonadati; Pseudomonadota; Gammaproteobacteria; Enterobacterales; Enterobacteriaceae
Description: bacterial LSU rRNA
Rfam family: Bacterial large subunit ribosomal RNA
Source: RNAcentral
AGCGUACACGGUGGAUGCCCUGGCAGUCAGAGGCGAUGAAGGACGUGCUAAUCUGCGAUAAGCGUCGGUAAGGUGAUAUGAACCGUUAUAACCGGCGAUUUCCGAAUGGGGAAACCCAGUGUGAUUCGUCACACUAUCAUUAACUGAAUCCAUAGGUUAAUGAGGCGAACCGGGGGAACUGAAACAUCUAAGUACCCCGAGGAAAAGAAAUCAACCGAGAUUCCCCCAGUAGCGGCGAGCGAACGGGGAGCAGCCCAGAGCCUGAAUCAGUGUGUGUGUUAGUGGAAGCGUCUGGAAAGGCGCGCGAUACAGGGUGACAGCCCCGUACACAAAAAUGCACAUGCUGUGAGCUCGAUGAGUAGGGCGGGACACGUGGUAUCCUGUCUGAAUAUGGGGGGACCAUCCUCCAAGGCUAAAUACUCCUGACUGACCGAUAGUGAACCAGUACCGUGAGGGAAAGGCGAAAAGAACCCCGGCGAGGGGAGUGAAAAAGAACCUGAAACCGUGUACGUACAAGCAGUGGGAGCACGCUUAGGCGUGUGACUGCGUACCUUUUGUAUAAUGGGUCAGCGACUUAUAUUCUGUAGCAAGGUUAACCGAAUAGGGGAGCCGAAGGGAAACCGAGUCUUAACUGGGCGUUAAGUUGCAGGGUAUAGACCCGAAACCCGGUGAUCUAGCCAUGGGCAGGUUGAAGGUUGGGUAACACUAACUGGAGGACCGAACCGACUAAUGUUGAAAAAUUAGCGGAUGACUUGUGGCUGGGGGUGAAAGGCCAAUCAAACCGGGAGAUAGCUGGUUCUCCCCGAAAGCUAUUUAGGUAGCGCCUCGUGAAUUCAUCUCCGGGGGUAGAGCACUGUUUCGGCAAGGGGGUCAUCCCGACUUACCAACCCGAUGCAAACUGCGAAUACCGGAGAAUGUUAUCACGGGAGACACACGGCGGGUGCUAACGUCCGUCGUGAAGAGGGAAACAACCCAGACCGCCAGCUAAGGUCCCAAAGUCAUGGUUAAGUGGGAAACGAUGUGGGAAGGCCCAGACAGCCAGGAUGUUGGCUUAGAAGCAGCCAUCAUUUAAAGAAAGCGUAAUAGCUCACUGGUCGAGUCGGCCUGCGCGGAAGAUGUAACGGGGCUAAACCAUGCACCGAAGCUGCGGCAGCGACACUGUGUGUUGUUGGGUAGGGGAGCGUUCUGUAAGCCUGCGAAGGUGUGCUGUGAGGCAUGCUGGAGGUAUCAGAAGUGCGAAUGCUGACAUAAGUAACGAUAAAGCGGGUGAAAAGCCCGCUCGCCGGAAGACCAAGGGUUCCUGUCCAACGUUAAUCGGGGCAGGGUGAGUCGACCCCUAAGGCGAGGCCGAAAGGCGUAGUCGAUGGGAAACAGGUUAAUAUUCCUGUACUUGGUGUUACUGCGAAGGGGGGACGGAGAAGGCUAUGUUGGCCGGGCGACGGUUGUCCCGGUUUAAGCGUGUAGGCUGGUUUUCCAGGCAAAUCCGGAAAAUCAAGGCUGAGGCGUGAUGACGAGGCACUACGGUGCUGAAGCAACAAAUGCCCUGCUUCCAGGAAAAGCCUCUAAGCAUCAGGUAACAUCAAAUCGUACCCCAAACCGACACAGGUGGUCAGGUAGAGAAUACCAAGGCGCUUGAGAGAACUCGGGUGAAGGAACUAGGCAAAAUGGUGCCGUAACUUCGGGAGAAGGCACGCUGAUAUGUAGGUGAAGUCCCUCGCGGAUGGAGCUGAAAUCAGUCGAAGAUACCAGCUGGCUGCAACUGUUUAUUAAAAACACAGCACUGUGCAAACACGAAAGUGGACGUAUACGGUGUGACGCCUGCCCGGUGCCGGAAGGUUAAUUGAUGGGGUCAGCGCAAGCGAAGCUCUUGAUCGAAGCCCCGGUAAACGGCGGCCGUAACUAUAACGGUCCUAAGGUAGCGAAAUUCCUUGUCGGGUAAGUUCCGACCUGCACGAAUGGCGUAAUGAUGGCCAGGCUGUCUCCACCCGAGACUCAGUGAAAUUGAACUCGCUGUGAAGAUGCAGUGUACCCGCGGCAAGACGGAAAGACCCCGUGAACCUUUACUAUAGCUUGACACUGAACAUUGAGCCUUGAUGUGUAGGAUAGGUGGGAGGCUUUGAAGUGUGGACGCCAGUCUGCAUGGAGCCGACCUUGAAAUACCACCCUUUAAUGUUUGAUGUUCUAACGUUGACCCGUGAUCCGGGUUGCGGACAGUGUCUGGUGGGUAGUUUGACUGGGGCGGUCUCCUCCUAAAGAGUAACGGAGGAGCACGAAGGUUGGCUAAUCCUGGUCGGACAUCAGGAGGUUAGUGCAAUGGCAUAAGCCAGCUUGACUGCGAGCGUGACGGCGCGAGCAGGUGCGAAAGCAGGUCAUAGUGAUCCGGUGGUUCUGAAUGGAAGGGCCAUCGCUCAACGGAUAAAAGGUACUCCGGGGAUAACAGGCUGAUACCGCCCAAGAGUUCAUAUCGACGGCGGUGUUUGGCACCUCGAUGUCGGCUCAUCACAUCCUGGGGCUGAAGUAGGUCCCAAGGGUAUGGCUGUUCGCCAUUUAAAGUGGUACGCGAGCUGGGUUUAGAACGUCGUGAGACAGUUCGGUCCCUAUCUGCCGUGGGCGCUGGAGAACUGAGGGGGGCUGCUCCUAGUACGAGAGGACCGGAGUGGACGCAUCACUGGUGUUCGGGUUGUCAUGCCAAUGGCACUGCCCGGUAGCUAAAUGCGGAAGAGAUAAGUGCUGAAAGCAUCUAAGCACGAAACUUGCCCCGAGAUGAGUUCUCCCUGACUCCUUGA